GUGUGCUAUGCCUCAGGGGGACGCAUAAGGAAUCAUUGCACAGGCUCCUCUUCAGUAUGGUCAGCCUGAAUGGUGAAGGGCAAUCACAGCAUCCCUGCAGUAUUUCAGGAAGAGUGAUGUACUUGGUGGGCCAAGCAGGAAAAGGAGUAGAUGAUUGGUCCUCAGCUUAUUUGGGCUCUGCUGUGGGGGACAGGACCCAAUUUCUGGAGGGUAAGAUUGAGUGAGAAGGAGCUACUGUUGCUUCUGAAGGAAUUGGGUGUAUGUAUGCUCAUUUUUGAGGCCAGAAGAACAUGUACCAGAACGUACACACUCCUGAGUAUUGCAGCCGGUGGUGGUUUCCCUUUUUCCGUCCCUGGGACACUACAUUUUCGUGUUGCCCUUAGCUCAGUCUCUUUGGAACAUAGAGUGAAAUAAGUGAGGAUAUCUUCCCUCCCCAAACUGUGUUGAUUAGAAAACUAUUUUGCAGAUGUGAAAAGGGAGAGCUACUGGAAGUGGAAAGGAGAGCUUGAUUUUGUUCAAGACACUGCAUUCUGACUGGAGCCUUUAGCAGUGAGUGGGGUCAUCCUAGGAUGCUUUCUGGAAUAGGGAGUUAAGAUCUGUUUGUCUGCUUCCCUUGCAACUGUCUGUUCGUGGGCAUGAAUUUUUCUCUCCUUUUCCUCUUUUCAUCUGGCCCCCUCUGUGAUUCUAGUGGCUCCUUCCCUGAAGAGGUGGAUUGUCAGUACUGGUGGCCUCUUGAACUUUACCAAAAUUUGGGAGAUGGCUACAUGUAAGAAGAGGCUUUCCUUGCACCUUCCUAGAACAGACCUUUUUAAUCUCCCACUAUGGUGUUUCUAGCACAACAGCCGCAUCAAAGUGACCGCAACAGUGAAAACCCCCACCGACUGACAUUUCUUUGGUGCGAGAACUAAACAUGGAGCCUUAUGUGCAUAAGCCUGAUGCUGCAACAUAUGA
Molecule: long non-coding RNA, 951 nt
Organism: Alligator sinensis (Chinese alligator)
Lineage: Eukaryota; Metazoa; Chordata; Crocodylia; Alligatoridae
Exons: 3
Source: RefSeq, a predicted model, not a curated record